RNAcentral lists this ribosomal RNA (253 nucleotides) under uncultured bacterium. RNAcentral's name for it is "partial 16S ribosomal RNA". It matches the Rfam family "Bacterial small subunit ribosomal RNA", at positions 524 to 776 of the family's 1533-position model. The record is from RNAcentral.
UACGAAGGGGGCUAGCGUUGUUCGGAAUCACUGGGCGUAAAGCGCACGUAGGCGGAUCUUUAAGUCAGGGGUGAAAGCCCGGGGCUCAACCUCGGAAUUGCCUUCGAUACUGGAAAGCUCGAGUCCGGGAGAGGUGAGUGGAACUGCGAGUGUAGAGGUGAAAUUCGUAGAUAUUCGCAAGAACACCAGUGGCGAAGGCGGCUCACUGGCCCGGUACUGACGCUGAGGUGCGAAAGCGUGGGGAGCAAACAGG